UACAGAGGAGCCAAGCGUUGUCCGGAUUGACUGGGCGUAAAGCGCACGCAGGCGGACGCGCGCGUGGGGUGUGAAAUCUGGCCGCUUAACGGCCAGGCGCCAUCCCAUACGGCGCGUCUGGAGUGAUGCAGAGGUCGGUGGAAUUGCCGGUGUAGUGGUGAAAUGCGUAGAGAUCGGCAGGAACACCCAGGGGGAAACCAGCCGACUGGGCAUCUACUGACGCUGAGGUGCGACAGCGUGGGGAGCGAACGGG
RNAcentral lists this ribosomal RNA (253 nucleotides) under uncultured bacterium. RNAcentral's name for it is "partial 16S ribosomal RNA". It matches the Rfam family "Bacterial small subunit ribosomal RNA", at positions 524 to 776 of the family's 1533-position model. The record is from RNAcentral.